Long non-coding RNA from Diorhabda sublineata, 1954 nucleotides. RefSeq lists it as uncharacterized. The transcript has 3 exons. The record is from RefSeq and is a predicted model, not a curated record. Lineage: Eukaryota; Metazoa; Arthropoda; Insecta; Coleoptera; Chrysomelidae.
GUAUAUGUUAUAACAUAUUAAUUCUGCUUUAAAACUUGUUGAGGUUAUGUAUAUUUUAUUUUUGCAGUACCUUUUUGUUUGUUUUUUACAGAUCCUUUUAUUGUUAAAAAAAUAAUGGGUUUUAAACAUGUCCUAAAAUUUUCCAGCAUCAGUGCUUUUAUAGAUGACACAACAAAAUUAUAAAAAAGGGUGAAAACGCAAUAGAGUCCAGCCAUGCCAAGAAAAUGGACUAUGACUCUGAUUUGCAGGUAAUCAGAGGUGAAGUAUUUGCUAGUAUGAAAUACAAAAGCUACAAGGUGUCUAUAGGUAGGAAUAUAUGCCUUUGUUAAUGUAUUAUGGAAUUAAUCCUGUUAUAAUUUGGUGUUGGCACUUUUUGGGCUUUACAAUAUAUCUGUAACAGAUAAGCGUGUGCAUGGAAGGCCUACCUAAACCAAAGGUUGGGCCAGUGAAAUCUACAGAAGAGCUUUACUCACCGAAGCCCUAUACACCUCUUGAAGGUGGGGUACCAGAAGAAUCAAUCAACAGAUUGAAGGAAGGGCUACACAGCUUUGGAAAUACUGUUGGUUUUACCUGGCUAUUGAACGAGGAACCAAUAAAUUUGCUGGAAAAUGAAUUUCCAGUAAUUGAAGAAAUAAUUUCUUCAAAGGACUUUUUGGAAGCCACAGAUAUACUGACUGUGUUCAAAGAGAAAUGUGAUGUUGAUGAUCAGCUAAUAAAAUAAAUAUAUUUCCUCCCUACUGGCCAGGUGUCAAAUGAAAAAUGGUACCUUGCAAGAAAAUUUAGAUUAAAUGCUGGCAACUUCAGUGCUAUUAUUGCAGCAUGCAGAAGAAACAGAUUCUGAGUGAGUUUGUUCAACACACUCUUAGGUGAAUACAAUUUGGAUGGUAUCAAAGCAAUCCAGUGGGGUAGAACUCAUGAAAAAGAUGCUCUAGAUCAGGGAUGGGGAAACUUCGGCUCACGACCAAAAACAAAAAUCAAGUACAGCUUUCUUAUCAGAAAUUACAUUCUCUUCAAUUGGCAAUAAUGGCAGUGCAUGUCAUACAUAAAACAACAUGUGCGAGCGCGGACGGGGAUAUGAGCGAAAACUGAAAAUGAAGCUCAAGUAGGUGCGUCUGUCAUCGAACGCACUACCCAUUUGAAACAACUAUUUCUGAACACCAGCAAAUUGGAAUUUUAUAAGUCCUUAUCUAAGACACAAUACCUAAAUAUAGUUGCCCACGCCCAGAAAAUAAUGGCUAUGUUUGGUACAAGCUAUUUGUGUGGACAAACGUUUUCAAUAAUGAAACUAAGAAAAAAUUGUCUUCUUAGGCUUUCAGAUGACCUCCUUUUUUCCAUGUUAACAAUUCAGUAUCACAAUGGAGCCGGCUUAUGAUUAAGUCAUGCAGAAACAAAAAUAGUUCCACAUGUCACAUGUUCCCACAAAGACCAGUGCUCCUUAACCUUUUACUUUGCAGCUAACUUGAGUUCAAUUAAUUGCAAUUAAAAAUGUUAUUUUUUAAUAUUUCACAAUAAAUUAGUGUUUCAGAAAAAUUAAAACAAUAUUUCUAUUUUAGUAAAUAAUGUAAUGCUACUUGGCUCGUCAUAUAUUUCAUUAACAAAAAUUGGCACGCAAAGAAAAAAGUUUCCCCAUCCCUGCUCUAGAUCAUUUAAACCAGAUUUAUAAUUUAAAUGUUCUGCCAACUGGAGUAUGGCUUACAAAUUCAGGACUUCUUGGUGCUAGCCCUGAUGGAAUUAUUGAUGAAGAAGAAGCCAUUGAGCCAUUGUAGAAGUGAAAUGCCCAUAUUCUUUCAAAAAUGGCUAAUCUACAGUGUUAACAGAUGGAGUAUACAGUUGGAAAAAUCUUUACUAUUCAUUUUAGGCUGAAAAGCCACUCUAUACAAAUUUUUGUUCAGGAAAUUAUGUUUUUUAAUAUAAAUGUACAAUGCCAUUUUGUCAAUAAAGAUUUUUGAAACAA